CAGGCCUAACACAUGCAAGUCGAACGGGCACCUUCGGGUGUCAGUGGCAGACGGGUGAGUAACACGUGGGAACGUGCCCUUCGGUUCGGAAUAACUCAGGGAAACUUGAGCUAAUACCGGAUACGCCCUUACGGGGAAAGGUUUACUGCCGAAGGAUCGGCCCGCGUCUGAUUAGCUAGUUGGUGGGGUAAUGGCCUACCAAGGCGACGAUCAGUAGCUGGUCUGAGAGGAUGAUCAGCCACACUGGGACUGAGACACGGCCCAGACUCCUACGGGAGGCAGCAGUGGGGAAUAUUGGACAAUGGGCGAAAGCCUGAUCCAGCCAUGCCGCGUGAGUGAUGAAGGCCUUAGGGUUGUAAAGCUCUUUCGACGGGGACGAUAAUGACGGUAUCCGUAGAAGAAGCCCCGGCUAUCAUCGUGCCAGCAGCCGCGGUCAU
Molecule: ribosomal RNA, 437 nt
Filed under: uncultured bacterium
Lineage: Bacteria
Description: bacterial SSU rRNA
Rfam family: Bacterial small subunit ribosomal RNA
Source: RNAcentral